GACGAACGCUGGCGGCGUGCCUAACACAUGCAAGUCGAACGGAGAUUAUUAAUGAAGCUUGCGAUUUAAUAAUCUUAGUGGCGGACGGGUGAGUAACGCGUGGGUAAUCUACCUAUCAGUGGGGAAUAACAGUUGGAAACGACUGCUAAUACCGCAUAACCUGCUACGGCAGCAAAGAUGGCCUCUGAAAAUGCUGUCGCUGAUAGAUGAGCCCGCGUCUGAUUAGCUAGUUGGUGGGGUAAAGGCCUACCAAGGCGACGAUCAGUAGCCGGCCUGAGAGGGUGAACGGCCACACUGGGACUGAGACACGGCCCAGACUCCUACGGGAGGCAGCAGUGGGGAAUAUUGCGCAAUGGGGAAACCCUGACGCAGCGACGCCGCGUGAGCGAUGAAGGCCUUAGGGUUGUAAAGCUCUGUUUUAGGGGACGAAUGUCUAGACGAGUAAUAUGCGUUUAGAAUGACGGUACCCUAAGAGGAAGCCCCGGCUAACUACGUGCC
Molecule: ribosomal RNA, 498 nt
Filed under: uncultured bacterium
Lineage: Bacteria
Description: bacterial SSU rRNA
Rfam family: Bacterial small subunit ribosomal RNA
Source: RNAcentral